UACCAUGCAGUCGAGCGGAGAGAGGUAGCUUGCUACUAAUCUUAGCGGCGGACGGGUGAGUAAUGCUUAGGAAUCUGCCUAUUAGUGGGGGACAACAUUUCGAAAGGAAUGCUAAUACCGCAUACGUCCUACGGGAGAAAGCAGGGGAUCUUCGGACCUUGCGCUAAUAGAUGAGCCUAAGUCGGAUUAGCUAGUUGGUGGGGUAAAGGCCUACCAAGGCGACGAUCUGUAGCGGGUCUGAGAGGAUGAUCCGCCACACUGGGACUGAGACACGGCCCAGACUCCUACGGGAGGCAGCAGUGGGGAAUAUUGGACAAUGGGCGGAAGCCUGAUCCAGCCAUGCCGCGUGUGUGAAGAAGGCCUUAUGGUUGUAAAGCACUUUAAGCGAGGAGGAGGCUACUUUAGUUAAUACCUAGAGAUAGUGGACGUUACUCGCAGAAUAAGCACCGGCUAACUCUGUGCCAGCAGCCGCGGUAAUACAGAGGGUGCAAGCGUUAAUCGGAUUUACUGGGCGUAAAGCGCGCGUAGGCGGCUAAUUAAGUCAAAUGUGAAAUCCCCGAGCUUAACUUGGGAAUUGCAUUCGAUACUGGUUAGCUAGAGUGUGGGAGAGGAUGGUAGAAUUCCAGGUGUAGCGGUGAAAUGCGUAGAGAUCUGGAGGAAUACCGAUGGCGAAGGCAGCCAUCUGGCCUAACACUGACGCUGAUGUGCGAAAGCAUGGGGAGCAAACAGGAUUAGAUACCCUGGUAGUCCAUGCCGUAAACGAUGUCUACUAACCGUUGGGGCCUUU
This 787-nucleotide ribosomal RNA is filed under the name Acinetobacter sp. INBio2924E. Its description in RNAcentral is "bacterial SSU rRNA". It matches the Rfam family "Bacterial small subunit ribosomal RNA", at positions 52 to 833 of the family's 1533-position model. The record is from RNAcentral. Lineage: Bacteria; Pseudomonadati; Pseudomonadota; Gammaproteobacteria; Moraxellales; Moraxellaceae.